CCCGGCUCAGCGCGCCGGUGGCGGGGUCCGACACGGAGCUGUGCCCGGUGCUGAGGUUGUUGCUAUGCUGCAGGAGGAUCACCAUGGCAACCGGGUUACCACUGUAGGAUGGCUGUCCGUCUCCGAAGGAGGAGGAGAAGGAAGAGAAGCAGCUGAGCAGCAGCAGUGUGGCCGUCCACACGUCAACACAUUCAUCCCCGGAUAAUAAAUCCAGGGUGGAGGUGAAGAGGAGCUCAUGAGGUCAGCAGCACAGAGAAGACUUGGACACCUGCACGUGUCACGGCGUGCAGGUCAACGGGGAUGAUUGGAGGAAACUGAGGGUUUUAGUUUACUUCUCUCUGACAGUCAGGAGUUUUUAAAGCACUGUUCUUUAUGAAAACAUAUUUUAUAUCCAAGGUGAACCAGGUGUUAGAACACCGAGUCCUCGAGUCCAGUUGAUUAUCGUCUUUGUAUCUCUGUCAGUUUGAGAUAUUGCACCUUAAAUACGAAGCCGGACGACUAGAUGCUCCGAGUAACACUGUUAAAUCCUCACAAGCUCAGAAAAUACUGACUUUUUGUGUUUUAAUAUUUUCUGUUCUGCCUUCUCGUAUUAACUUCACCGUAUUCGAGGUUUCCUUCAGUUUGACUUGUUGACUCUCCUGCUUCUGCUCGAUGCAAACUCUGUUUUUAAAGGUGCUACAGGAAUCAAGAACACUGUCAUGUAGACAAUAUGAACGAGUUCACCACUAAUACUCACUUAACAGCACAUAUCCUCAAAAGAAGGAACAGAAAAGAGUCUCUCACUCACAUUAAACACCUUACAGCUGCACUACAAACAUUAGAUCAUUGUUCAAACUAUUGUGGGAAUUAAAAACAAAUAUAAAAUAACCAUCUAUAUGUUAGUCUAAAUCCAGACUUCUUGAUCGAUGCCCAGAUCCAUUCAGCAUGAUUAGUGUGUAAUGACUUAAAAUGGGGAAGAGAAAUGAUCAUUUAGUCUGAAUGUCAGGCUGAUAAUGUGUGGUGGCGUGAAAAGAAAUGAUCAAUAAUUUCAUUUGUUCAAGCUUUAGAUGAAGGAUGAAGAAGUAAAAUGACACCUGGACUGAAACAAAGAGUCCUCCUGCUUGAAAA
Molecule: long non-coding RNA, 1107 nt
Organism: Acanthopagrus latus (yellowfin seabream)
Lineage: Eukaryota; Metazoa; Chordata; Actinopteri; Spariformes; Sparidae
Exons: 2
Source: RefSeq, a predicted model, not a curated record